GUCCGGAACUUGCCAGAGAUGGCUUGGUGCCCGAAAGGGAACCGGAACACAGGUGCUGCAUGGCUGUCGUCAGCUCGUGUCGUGAGAUGUUCGGGUUAAGUCCCGCAACGAGCGCAACCCUUAUCAUUAGUUGCUACGCAAGGGCACUCUAAUGAGACUGCCGGUGACAAACCGGAGGAAGGUGGGGAUGACGUCAAGUCCUCAUGGCCCUUAUGGGUAGGGCUUCACACGUCAUACAAUGGUCGGUACAGAGGGUUGCUAAGCCGCGAGGUGGAGCCAAUCCCACAAAGCCGAUCGUAGUCCGGAUUGUUCUCUGCAACUCGAGAGCAUGAAGUCGGAAUCGCUAGUAAUCGCAGGUCAGCAUACUGCGGUGAAUACGUUCCCGGGUCUU
Molecule: ribosomal RNA, 391 nt
Filed under: uncultured Thiobacillus sp.
Lineage: Bacteria; Pseudomonadati; Pseudomonadota; Betaproteobacteria; Nitrosomonadales; Thiobacillaceae
Description: bacterial SSU rRNA
Rfam family: Bacterial small subunit ribosomal RNA
Source: RNAcentral